Molecule: non-coding RNA, 97 nt
Organism: Acanthosepion pharaonis
Lineage: Eukaryota; Metazoa; Mollusca; Cephalopoda; Sepiida; Sepiidae
Source: the annotation of a GenBank genome assembly
UUGAAAUACUGUUUCACAUACAAUCACUGAAGUUAAGCAAAUUUGAGCCUAGUCAGUAGCUAGAUGGGUUACCACUUGGGAAUACCAGGUGCUGUAA